AACGAACGCUGGCGGCAUGCCUAACACAUGCAAGUCGAACGAUGCUUUCGGGCAUAGGGGCGCACGGGUGCGGAACGCGUGGGAAUCUGCCCUUGGGUUCGGAAUAACAGUGAGAAAUUGCUGCUAAUACCGGAUGAUGUCUUCGGACCAAAGAUGUAUCGCCCAGGGGUGAGCCCGCGUAGGCUUAGCUAGUUGGGGGUGUAAUGGCAUACCAAGGCGACGAUCCUUAGCUGGUGUGAUAGGAUGAUUAACCACACUUGGACUGAGACACGGCCCAGACUCCUACGGGAGGCAGGAGUGGGGAAUAUUGGACAAUGGGGGCAAGCGUGAUCAAGCAAUGCCGCGGGAGUGAUGAAGGCGUUAGGGUUGUAAAGCUCUUUUACCCGGGAUGAUAAUGACAGUACCGGGAGAAUAAGCACCGGCUAACUACGUG
This 433-nucleotide ribosomal RNA is filed under the name uncultured bacterium. RNAcentral's name for it is "partial 16S ribosomal RNA". It matches the Rfam family "Bacterial small subunit ribosomal RNA", at positions 29 to 507 of the family's 1533-position model. The record is from RNAcentral.